This 207-nucleotide long non-coding RNA is filed under the name Arachis ipaensis. Its description in RNAcentral is "long non-coding RNA (AIPA_LNC002474)". Lineage: Eukaryota; Viridiplantae; Streptophyta; Magnoliopsida; Fabales; Fabaceae. The record is from RNAcentral.
AUCAGAUCAGAUAAUUAGCUUUGACAUCAAGAUCUCGGAAGCUUUCAUGUGUUGUGGGGAAUGCUGUCUUGUCCAAGGAGAUAUCACACUACCUGCUUUAAUUGCUUUCAUCUCAAACCAACACAUAAAAACUCGUCUUCUUCAAUUCAUCACCAUUCACCACGCACUAGCUAGUUUAUCAAAUUGAAGAAUUAAUUUUAAUUUCAC